AUACUCUAUAAGGAGCCUUCCUGCCAAAUUUCAAGUUUGUAGGUGUUAUAGUUUCGGAGAUUUCGUGAUGAAUGACCUUUCGCGUUUAUAUAUAUUACUAGCUGUGCCCGCGGCUUCGCCCGCGUUGAAAUCAGUGUGUCACAAAGUUUUCCCGGCAAACUUCCAGUGAAACUCUCAUCAAAAUCGGCUUAGCCGUUCAGUAGAUUUUGAGGAAAUCGAUCA
This 222-nucleotide unclassified non-coding RNA is filed under the name Melitaea cinxia (Glanville fritillary). RNAcentral's name for it is "misc RNA ENSMCXG00005003150.1". Lineage: Eukaryota; Metazoa; Arthropoda; Insecta; Lepidoptera; Nymphalidae. The record is from RNAcentral.